RNAcentral lists this ribosomal RNA (460 nucleotides) under uncultured bacterium. RNAcentral's name for it is "partial 16S ribosomal RNA". It matches the Rfam family "Bacterial small subunit ribosomal RNA", at positions 338 to 795 of the family's 1533-position model. The record is from RNAcentral.
CCUACGGGAGACAGCAGUGGGGAAUAUUGGUCAAUGGACGAGAGUCUGAACCAGCCAAGUAGCGUGAAGGAUGACUGCCCUAUGGGUGGUAAACUUCUUUUAUAUGGGAAUAAAAUGUUCCACGUGUGGGAUUUUGUAUGUACCAUAUGAAUAAGGAUCGGCGAACUACGUGCCAGCAGCCGCGGUAAUACGGAGGAUCCGAGCGUUGUCCGGAUUUAUUGGGUUUAAAGGGAGCGUAGGUGGAUGGUUAAGGCAGUUGUGAAAGUUUGCGGCUCAACCGUAAAAUUGCAGUUGAAACUGGCGGUCUUGAGUGCAGUAGAGGUGGGCGGAAUUCGUGGUGUAGCGGUGAAAUGCUUAGAUAUAACGAAGAACUCCGAUUGCGAAGGCAGUUCACUGGACUGCAACUGACACUGAGGCUCGAAAGUAUGGGUAUCAAACAGGAUUAGAUACCCCUGUAGUC